UCACGCUCUCUUUCGGCUGCAGGCGAGACACGGAGAAGAUCACACUGGAGAACUGUAAAGUGAUUAAUGCUACUUUUCUUGCUUAAGUAAUACUUAAUGGUUGUAAGACCGAUAACCUAUUCACUACUUUGCAUGCGGAAGAAGUCGGUAUCACAUAGAGACAUUUUCAAAACGAAUUUGUCAGAAUAGCUCAGCUAAUAGUAUUGCCUGAAAAGUUAUCAACUCGGUAGCUGGGACUGUGUUAGGCUAACUGGCUUGGUCAACCAAUGAGUUGCCUCUGAGGAACAAGACUGCGAGACUAACCGGAAGAAGACAGCUUGCUGUUUGAACUGAUACGCGAACUACAGCAUCGCGUGAGCAACUGCAUACACCGAGAGCGCCUGAGCAGGGCUGCAGUGACGGUGCAUGGACCCUCUCUGGGCACGGACAUCCCCAUCAACCUCAAUUGGCCAGCCGAAGUCAGCGAGCUCCGCGCUUUCUCCUCUCCUCUAGUGGUGGUAUCCUUCACUGACUGCUGUGCUCAAUUUUGGGGUGCUGUGUCAGUUGAAUAUUCAGAGGUGGUUGCGGUGUGCUUUUGAGUAGGAGAUUACAGGUGACCCUUGUCGUGGGUGAUUAUGAGUGCUGACCCAAGUCUGGUGUGCAAGACAAGAAAUCAAUGGGCAGCCAUAAAACUCAGCAAACCCCUAUUCCACUGACUGCAGUC
This is a long non-coding RNA of Ictalurus punctatus (channel catfish), 703 nucleotides long. The record is from Ensembl. NCBI's taxonomy places the organism in Eukaryota, Metazoa, Chordata, Actinopteri, Siluriformes, Ictaluridae.